CCUACGGGAGGCAGCAGUGGGGAAUAUUGGUCAAUGGGCGCUAGCCUGAACCAGCAACGUAGCGUGAAGGAUGACUGCUUUAUGGGUUGUAAACUUCUUUUAUAUGGGAAUAAAGUGUAGUAUGUAUACUGCUUUGCAUGUACCUUAUGAAUAAGGAUCGGCCAACUCCGUGCCGGCAGCCGCAGUCAUUCGGAGGAUCCGAGCGUUAUCCGGAUUUAUUGGGUUUAAAGGGAGCGUAGGCGGGUUGUUAAGUCAGUUGUGAAAGUUUGCGGCUCAACCGUUAAAUUGCAGUUGAUACUGGCAUCCUUGAGUACAGUAGAGGUAGGCGGAAUUCGUGGUGUAGCGGUGAAAUGCUUAGAUAUCACGAAGAACUCCGAUUGCGAAGGCAGCCUGCUGGACUGUAACUGACGCUGAUGCUCGAAAGUGUGGGUAGCAAACAGGAUUAGAUACCCUAGUAGUC
Molecule: ribosomal RNA, 460 nt
Filed under: uncultured bacterium
Lineage: Bacteria
Description: partial 16S ribosomal RNA
Rfam family: Bacterial small subunit ribosomal RNA
Source: RNAcentral